UAGAGACCAACUAAGUUUGUUCUGGGUAUAAGCUUUUGUGUGCAUGCACACUUCUUCCGAUAUACACAUGAAAGCUUAUACCCAGAACAAACUUAGUUGGUCUCUA
This is a non-coding RNA of Podarcis lilfordi (Lilford's wall lizard), 106 nucleotides long. The record is from the annotation of a GenBank genome assembly. Lineage: Eukaryota; Metazoa; Chordata; Lepidosauria; Squamata; Lacertidae.